UCGUCGAUGACAUGCCAUGCGGAUCUUUUUGUGGCCAGGAUUCAAUGGAUUGCUUCAUUGCUUGGGCACGGGCCGGGCCAUUGGAAGGCGGUGGGGUUAUAGGGAUGCAAGAUCUCUGCAACGGUUUACUUCUAAUUUAAUUUUCAUAUCGGCUAUUCAAAAUUCACUUCUAAUCUAAUUUUCAAUUUUUUUUAUUUUUUCAAUAGGA
This 208-nucleotide long non-coding RNA is filed under the name Brachypodium distachyon (stiff brome). RNAcentral's name for it is "long non-coding RNA (BDIS_LNC002818)". Lineage: Eukaryota; Viridiplantae; Streptophyta; Magnoliopsida; Poales; Poaceae. The record is from RNAcentral.